This 2930-nucleotide ribosomal RNA is filed under the name Escherichia coli. RNAcentral's name for it is "bacterial LSU rRNA". It matches the Rfam family "Bacterial large subunit ribosomal RNA". The record is from RNAcentral. Lineage: Bacteria; Pseudomonadati; Pseudomonadota; Gammaproteobacteria; Enterobacterales; Enterobacteriaceae.
GGGUUGUGAGGUUAAGCGACUAAGCGUACACGGUGGAUGCCCUGGCAGUCAGAGGCGAUGAAGGACGUGCUAAUCUGCGAUAAGCGUCGGUAAGGUGAUAUGAACCGUUAUAACCGGCGAUUUCCGAAUGGGGAAACCCAGUGUGUUUCGACACACUAUCAUUAACUGAAUCCAUAGGUUAAUGAGGCGAACCGGGGGAACUGAAACAUCUAAGUACCCCGAGGAAAAGAAAUCAACCGAGAUUCCCCCAGUAGCGGCGAGCGAACGGGGAGCAGCCCAGAGCCUGAAUCAGUGUGUGUGUUAGUGGAAGCGUCUGGAAAGGCGCGCGAUACAGGGUGACAGCCCCGUACACAAAAAUGCACAUGCUGUGAGCUCGAUGAGUAGGGCGGGACACGUGGUAUCCUGUCUGAAUAUGGGGGGACCAUCCUCCAAGGCUAAAUACUCCUGACUGACCGAUAGUGAACCAGUACCGUGAGGGAAAGGCGAAAAGAACCCCGGCGAGGGGAGUGAAAAAGAACCUGAAACCGUGUACGUACAAGCAGUGGGAGCACGCUUCGGCGUGUGACUGCGUACCUUUUGUAUAAUGGGUCAGCGACUUAUAUUCUGUAGCAAGGUUAACCGAAUAGGGGAGCCGAAGGGAAACCGAGUCUUAACUGGGCGUUAAGUUGCAGGGUAUAGACCCGAAACCCGGUGAUCUAGCCAUGGGCAGGUUGAAGGUUGGGUAACACUAACUGGAGGACCGAACCGACUAAUGUUGAAAAAUUAGCGGAUGACUUGUGGCUGGGGGUGAAAGGCCAAUCAAACCGGGAGAUAGCUGGUUCUCCCCGAAAGCUAUUUAGGUAGCGCCUCGUGAAUUCAUCUCCGGGGGUAGAGCACUGUUUCGGCAAGGGGGUCAUCCCGACUUACCAACCCGAUGCAAACUGCGAAUACCGGAGAAUGUUAUCACGGGAGACACACGGCGGGUGCUAACGUCCGUCGUGAAGAGGGAAACAACCCAGACCGCCAGCUAAGGUCCCAAAGUCAUGGUUAAGUGGGAAACGAUGUGGGAAGGCCCAGACAGCCAGGAUGUUGGCUUAGAAGCAGCCAUCAUUUAAAGAAAGCGUAAUAGCUCACUGGUCGAGUCGGCCUGCGCGGAAGAUGUAACGGGGCUAAACCAUGCACCGAAGCUGCGGCAGCGACGCUGAUGCGUUGUUGGGUAGGGGAGCGUUCUGUAAGCCUGCGAAGGUGUGCUGUGAGGCAUGCUGGAGGUAUCAGAAGUGCGAAUGCUGACAUAAGUAACGAUAAAGCGGGUGAAAAGCCCGCUCGCCGGAAGACCAAGGGUUCCUGUCCAACGUUAAUCGGGGCAGGGUGAGUCGACCCCUAAGGCGAGGCCGAAAGGCGUAGUCGAUGGGAAACAGGUUAAUAUUCCUGUACUUGGUGUUACUGCGAAGGGGGGACGGAGAAGGCUAUGUUGGCCGGGCGACGGUUGUCCCGGUUUAAGCGUGUAGGCUGGUUUUCCAGGCAAAUCCGGAAAAUCAAGGCUGAGGCGUGAUGACGAGGCACUACGGUGCUGAAGCAACAAAUGCCCUGCUUCCAGGAAAAGCCUCUAAGCAUCAGGUAACAUCAAAUCGUACCCCAAACCGACACAGGUGGUCAGGUAGAGAAUACCAAGGCGCUUGAGAGAACUCGGGUGAAGGAACUAGGCAAAAUGGUGCCGUAACUUCGGGAGAAGGCACGCUGAUAUGUAGGUGAAGUCCCUUGCGGAUGGAGCUGAAAUCAGUCGAAGAUACCAGCUGGCUGCAACUGUUUAUUAAAAACACAGCACUGUGCAAACACGAAAGUGGACGUAUACGGUGUGACGCCUGCCCGGUGCCGGAAGGUUAAUUGAUGGGGUCAGCGCAAGCGAAGCUCUUGAUCGAAGCCCCGGUAAACGGCGGCCGUAACUAUAACGGUCCUAAGGUAGCGAAAUUCCUUGUCGGGUAAGUUCCGACCUGCACGAAUGGCGUAAUGAUGGCCAGGCUGUCUCCACCCGAGACUCAGUGAAAUUGAACUCGCUGUGAAGAUGCAGUGUACCCGCGGCAAGACGGAAAGACCCCGUGAACCUUUACUAUAGCUUGACACUGAACAUUGAGCCUUGAUGUGUAGGAUAGGUGGGAGGCUUGGAAGUGUGGACGCCAGUCUGCAUGGAGCCGACCUUGAAAUACCACCCUUUAAUGUUUGAUGUUCUAACGUUGACCCGUAAUCCGGGUUGCGGACAGUGUCUGGUGGGUAGUUUGACUGGGGCGGUCUCCUCCUAAAGAGUAACGGAGGAGCACGAAGGUUGGCUAAUCCUGGUCGGACAUCAGGAGGUUAGUGCAAUGGCAUAAGCCAGCUUGACUGCGAGCGUGACGGCGCGAGCAGGUGCGAAAGCAGGUCAUAGUGAUCCGGUGGUUCUGAAUGGAAGGGCCAUCGCUCAACGGAUAAAAGGUACUCCGGGGAUAACAGGCUGAUACCGCCCAAGAGUUCAUAUCGACGGCGGUGUUUGGCACCUCGAUGUCGGCUCAUCACAUCCUGGGGCUGAAGUAGGUCCCAAGGGUAUGGCUGUUCGCCAUUUAAAGUGGUACGCGAGCUGGGUUUAGAACGUCGUGAGACAGUUCGGUCCCUAUCUGCCGUGGGCGCUGGAGAACUGAGGGGGGCUGCUCCUAGUACGAGAGGACCGGAGUGGACGCAUCACUGGUGUUCGGGUUGUCAUGCCAAUGGCACUGCCCGGUAGCUAAAUGCGGAAGAGAUAAGUGCUGAAAGCAUCUAAGCACGAAACUUGCCCCGAGAUGAGUUCUCCCUGACCCUUUAAGGGUCCUGAAGGAACGUUGAAGACGACGACGUUGAUAGGCCGGGUGUGUAAGCGCAGCGAUGCGUUGAGCUAACCGGUACUAAUGAACCGUGAGGCUUAACCUUACAACGCCGAAGCUGUU